Molecule: ribosomal RNA, 495 nt
Filed under: uncultured bacterium
Lineage: Bacteria
Description: partial 16S ribosomal RNA
Rfam family: Bacterial small subunit ribosomal RNA
Source: RNAcentral
GACGAACGCUGGCGGCGUGCUUAACACAUGCAAGUGGAGCGACGAACCAGGGCUUGCCCUGGGGCAGAGCCGCGAACGGGUGAGUAACACGUGGGUUACCUGCCUCGAUGACCGGGACAACCCGAGGAAACUCGGGCUAAUACCGGAUGUGCCCGCAGGGGGAAAGGAAGCUUCGGCCUCCGCAUCGAGAUGGGCCCGCGGCCCAUUAGCUUGUUGGUGAGGUAACGGCUCACCAAGGCUUCGAUGGGUAGCUGGUCUGAGAGGACGAUCAGCCACACUGGGACUGAGACACGGCCCAGACUCCUACGGGAGGCAGCAGCGGGGAAUCUUGCGCAAUGCGCGAAAGCGUGACGCAGCAACGCCGCGUGGGGGAAGAAGGCUUUCGGGUUGUAAACCCCUUUCAGUUGGGACGAAGCUCUGUCGGUUAAUAGCCGGUCGGAGUGACGGUACCUUCACAAGAAGCACCGGCUAACUACGUGCCAGCCGCCGCAGUAA